RNAcentral lists this ribosomal RNA (429 nucleotides) under Chloroflexota bacterium. RNAcentral describes it as "Chloroflexi bacterium partial 16S ribosomal RNA". It matches the Rfam family "Bacterial small subunit ribosomal RNA", at positions 355 to 776 of the family's 1533-position model. Lineage: Bacteria; Bacillati; Chloroflexota. The record is from RNAcentral.
UAGGGAAUCUUCGGCAAUGGACGAACGUCUGACCGAGCAACGCCGCGUGAGUGAAGAAGGUUUUCGGAUCGUAAAACUCUGUUGUUAGAGAAGAACAAGGACGUUAGUAACUGAACGUCCCCUGACGGUAUCUAACCAGAAAGCCACGGCUAACUACGUGCCAGCAGCCGCGGUAAUACGUAGGUGGCAAGCGUUGUCCGGAUUUAUUGGGCGUAAAGCGAGCGCAGGCGGUUUCUUAAGUCUGAUGUGAAAGCCCCCGGCGCAACCGGGGAGGGUCAUUGGAAACUGGGAGACUUGAGUGCAGAAGAGGAGAGUGGAAUUCCAUGUGUAGCGGUGAAAUGCGUAGAUAUAUGGAGGAACACCAGUGGCGAAGGCGGCUCUCUGGUCUGUAACUGACGCUGAGGCUCGAAAGCGUGGGGAGCAAACAGG